GCGGAGGAAAAGAAACCAACCGGGAUUGCCUCAGUAACGGCGAGUGAAGCGGCAAGAGCUCAAAUUUGAAAUCUGGUACCUUCGGUGCCCGAGUUGUAAUCUGGAGAGGGCGACUUUGGGGCUGGUCCCUGCCUAUGUGCCUUGGAACAGGACGUCACAGAGGGUGAUAACCCCGUGAGGUGGGGGUGCCAGUUCUAUGUAAAGUGCUCUCGAAGAGUCGAGUUGUUUGGGAAUGCAGCUCUAAGUGGGUGGUAAAUUCCAUCUAAAGCUAAAUAUUGGCGAGAGACCGAUAGCGAACAAGUACAGUGAUGGAAAGAUGAAAAGAACUUUGAAAAGAGAGUGAAAAAGGACGUGAAAUUGUUGAAAGGGAAGGACAUUUGAUCAGACAUGGUGUUUUGCGCCCUCUGCUCCUCGUGGGUGGGGGUCCACGCAGUUCACUGGGCCAGCAUCAGUUUUGGCGGCAGGAUAAAUCCGUGGGAAUGUAGCUCGCGCCUCUCUUCUCGGGGGGGACGGGUGUUAUAGCCUGCGGCGAAUACUGCCAGCCGGGACUGAGGACUGCGACUUCUGUCAAGGAUGUUGGCGUAAUGGUUAAAUGUCACCCGUCUU
This 606-nucleotide ribosomal RNA is filed under the name Zygosaccharomyces sp. RNAcentral's name for it is "partial large subunit ribosomal RNA". It matches the Rfam family "Eukaryotic large subunit ribosomal RNA", at positions 50 to 655 of the family's 3401-position model. Lineage: Eukaryota; Fungi; Ascomycota; Saccharomycetes; Saccharomycetales; Saccharomycetaceae. The record is from RNAcentral.